This 579-nucleotide ribosomal RNA is filed under the name uncultured bacterium. RNAcentral's name for it is "partial 16S ribosomal RNA". It matches the Rfam family "Bacterial small subunit ribosomal RNA", at positions 355 to 932 of the family's 1533-position model. The record is from RNAcentral.
UGGGGAAUUUUGGACAAUGGGCGAAAGCCUGAUCCAGCAAUGCCGCGUGUGUGAAGAAGGCCUUCGGGUUGUAAAGCACUUUUGUCCGGAAAGAAAUCCUCUGGGUUAAUACCUCGGGGGGAUGACGGUACCGGAAGAAUAAGCACCGGCUAACUACGUGCCAGCAGCCGCGGUAAUACGUAGGGUGCAAGCGUUAAUCGGAAUUACUGGGCGUAAAGCGUGCGCAGGCGGUUUUGUAAGACGGAUGUGAAAUCCCCGGGCUUAACCUGGGAACUGCAUUCGUGACUGCAAGGCUAGAGUAUGGCAGAGGGGGGUAGAAUUCCACGUGUAGCAGUGAAAUGCGUAGAGAUGUGGAGGAAUACCGAUGGCGAAGGCAGCCCCCUGGGCCAAUACUGACGCUCAUGCACGAAAGCGUGGGGAGCAAACAGGAUUAGAUACCCUGGUAGUCCACGCCCUAAACGAUGUCAACUAGUUGUUGGGGAUUCAUUUCCUUAGUAACGUAGCUAACGCGUGAAGUUGACCGCCUGGGGAGUACGGUCGCAAGAUUAAAACUCAAAGGAAUUGACGGGGUCAUAGCUG